Molecule: ribosomal RNA, 200 nt
Filed under: uncultured bacterium
Lineage: Bacteria
Description: partial 16S ribosomal RNA
Rfam family: Bacterial small subunit ribosomal RNA
Source: RNAcentral
UACGGAGGGUGCGAGCGUUAAUCGGAAUUACUGGGCGUAAAGCGCGCGUAGGCGGUUUGUUAAGUCAGCUGUGAAAGCCCUGGGCUCAACCUGGGAACUGCAGUUGAUACUGGCCGACUAGAGUAUGAAAGAGGGAGGUAGAAUUCCAUGUGUAGCGGUGAAAUGCGUAGAUAUAUGGAGGAAUACCAGUGGCGAAGGCG